Small RNA from Sporolactobacillus inulinus CASD, 50 nucleotides. It matches the Rfam family "Bacillaceae-1 RNA", at positions 19 to 67 of the family's 67-position model. The record is from Rfam. Lineage: Bacteria; Bacillati; Bacillota; Bacilli; Caryophanales; Sporolactobacillaceae.
AAAGGCGUGCACGUCCUGUGCACAACACGGAAGUCACCGCAUCCUGCGGA